CCCGACUGCUAUUUGGGUGAGGAUAAGCCAUGCGAGUUGAAUGGGAUACCUAAAUUUCCCAUGGCAAACUGCUUAGUAACACAUGAUCAACUUACCCUAUGGAGAAAUAUAACCUCGGGAAACUGAGGAUAAUGCUUCAUAGUUGAAUAGGCUUGGAAAAGUUUUUCAAUGAAAGGGAUAAGAAAAAUGGUUCUUAUCUGCCAUAGGAUAGGAUCGUGCUCGAUUAUGGUUGUUGGUGAGGUAACGGCUCACCAAGCCGAUAAUCGAUAGGGGCCGUGAGAGCGGGAGCCCCAAGAUGGGUACUGAGACAGCGACCCAGGCCUUACGAGGCGCAGCAGGUACGAAACCUCCGCAAUACACGAAAGUGUGACGGGGUUACCCAAAGUGUUCUUAUAGAACUGUGGCAGGUGAAUAAUGUCCCCUGCUAGAAAGGAGAGGGCAAGGCUGGUGCCAGCCGCCGCGGUAAAACCAGCUCUUCAAGUGGUCGGGAUAAUAUUGGGCUUAAAGUGUCCGUAGCCGGUUUAGUAAGUUCCUGGUAAAAUCAGGUAGCUUAACUAUCUGUAUGCUAGGAAUACUGCUAUACUAGAGGGCGGGAGAGGUCUGAGGUACUACAGGGGUAGGGGUGAAAUCUUAUAAUCCUUGUAGGACCACCAGUGGCGAAGGCGUCAGACUGGAACGCGCCUGACGGUGAGGGACGAAAGCCAGGGGAGCGAACCGGAUUAGAUACCCGGGUAGUCCUGGCCGUAAACGAUGCAUACUAGGUGAUGGUACGGCCAUGAGCCGUGUCAGUGCCGUAGGGAAACCGUUAAGUGUGCCGCCUGGGAAGUACGGUCGCAAGGCUAAAACUUAAAGGAAUUGGCGGGGGAGCACCACAAGGGGUGAAGCCUGCGGUUCA
RNAcentral lists this ribosomal RNA (895 nucleotides) under uncultured archaeon. RNAcentral's name for it is "bacterial SSU rRNA". It matches the Rfam family "Archaeal small subunit ribosomal RNA", at positions 21 to 904 of the family's 1478-position model. The record is from RNAcentral.